UCCUCCUCCUUCGCACUCAGAGCAACCCUUCUCUACGGCUGAGGAGACAGCCUUUGACCCGGGGAAGCUCUGGCCAUAAAGGACUGCAGGAGAGGCCUUUCUGGGGCUGCAGGAAUCAAGGUCUUUGUUCUGAAGGAAUUUCAUCUUGACCCCCUUGUACACAGCUUUGGAGUAUCUUUUGCUGAAGUGACCCAAGUGCAAGGGCACCAGGCCCCUCCCCUGCCAUCUGAUGGCCGACACAGAGGCCAAUCGAAGGGAGCUGGGCUCCAACAGAAAGAGGCUGCCGAGGUACAACAAUUCUUUGGUGACCUUUGCGGAUGUGGCAGUAUAUUUCACUGAAGAGGAAUGGAAACUGU
Molecule: long non-coding RNA, 356 nt
Organism: Sceloporus undulatus (fence lizard)
Lineage: Eukaryota; Metazoa; Chordata; Lepidosauria; Squamata; Phrynosomatidae
Exons: 3
Source: RefSeq, a predicted model, not a curated record